Molecule: transfer RNA, 84 nt
Organism: Fistulifera solaris
Lineage: Eukaryota; Bacillariophyta; Bacillariophyceae; Naviculales; Stauroneidaceae
Rfam family: tRNA
About the family: Transfer RNA (tRNA) molecules are approximately 80 nucleotides in length. Their secondary structure includes four short double-helical elements and three loops (D, anti-codon, and T loops).
Source: Rfam
GCUAGUUUGUUCGAGUGGUCUAAGAAGGCAGAUUUAAGACCUGUUCCUCAUUAGAGGGCGUGGGUUCGAACCCCACAGCUAGCA